UACCCUUGACAUGGUCGGAAUCCUGAAGAGAUUUAGGAGUGCUCGAAAGAGAACCGACACACAGGUGCUGCAUGGCUGUCGUCAGCUCGUGUCGUGAGAUGUUGGGUUAAGUCCCGCAACGAGCGCAACCCUUGUCAUUAGUUGCUACGAAAGGGCACUCUAAUGAGACUGCCGGUGACAAACCGGAGGAAGGUGGGGAUGACGUCAAGUCCUCAUGGCCCUUAUGGGUAGGGCUUCACACGUCAUACAAUGGUACAUACAGAGGGCUGCCAACCCGCGAGGGGGAGCUAAUCCCAGAAAGUGUAUCGUAGUCCGGAUUGUAGUCUGCAACUCGACUACAUGAAGUUGGAAUCGCUAGUAAUCGCGGAUCAGCAUGUCGCGGUGAAUACGUUCCCGGGUCUUGUACACACCGCCCGUCACACCAUGGGAGCGGGUUUUACCAGAAGUGGGUAGCCUAACCGCAAGGAGGGCGCUUACCACGGUAGGAUUCGUGACUGGGGUGAAGUCGUAACAAGGUAGGCGUAGUGCU
This 529-nucleotide ribosomal RNA is filed under the name uncultured bacterium. RNAcentral describes it as "bacterial SSU rRNA". It matches the Rfam family "Bacterial small subunit ribosomal RNA", at positions 976 to 1509 of the family's 1533-position model. The record is from RNAcentral.